Molecule: ribosomal RNA, 253 nt
Filed under: uncultured bacterium
Lineage: Bacteria
Description: partial 16S ribosomal RNA
Rfam family: Bacterial small subunit ribosomal RNA
Source: RNAcentral
CACGUAGGGCGCAAGCGUUGUCCGGAAUCACUGGGCGUAGAGGGUGCGUAGGCGGGUCUUUAAGUCAGGGGUGAAAUCCUGGAGCUCAACUCCAGAACUGCCUUUGAUACUGAAGAUCUUGAGUUCGGGAGAGGUGAGUGGAACUGCGAGUGUAGAGGUGAAAUUCGUAGAUAUUCGCAAGAACACCAGUGGCGAAGGCGGCUCACUGGCCCGAUACUGACGCUGAGGCACGAAAGCGUGGGGAGCAAACAGG